This 1360-nucleotide long non-coding RNA is filed under the name Homo sapiens (human). RNAcentral's name for it is "HSALNT0149221". Lineage: Eukaryota; Metazoa; Chordata; Mammalia; Primates; Hominidae. The record is from RNAcentral.
CUCAGUUGCUCUGUUAAACAGCAAAAUUCCCAAGUCCUCAUCUCAAUGAGCCACUGAGGCCGAUGAAGAGGGCCUGUCUCAUUUAGGACAUGAGUGGCCAGGCGGGUGCCACAGGCCCUUUUCCUGGUGACAACAAAGCCAUUGCAUGGCUCCAGGAAGGCCACAUCAUUUCCUGGGUUUCGUAGGCGCCUGCGGGGCGGAAACAGUUCAGCAGGGCCCUCCUGAUCACAAGGACGAGGUCAUACCGGCUGCUGCAUGGCAGGGCUGCACUCUGCCAGGGAGCGUCCUGUGAUGGAGGGGCUGCACUGCCACUUUACUGAUGAGGAAAUUAAGGUUCAGAGAGAUGAGGUCAUUUCUUAGAGGCCAGACAGCCUCCUCAGCCCAUUUAUAAGGUUGUUUCUGUGGUAUUUGCCAUAAAGCCAUAGGUUCAUUGAUUUGUUCUUAAGUAGUUCUGAGCCCUUCCUGCAUAUCAGGCAGGGACAAACAGGAAAGUCCCUGCCUUUGGCAAGUGCGGGGGAAAUGAAAUGAUUCUGCUUAGCCGCAUCCAUUGGUCUGAACAAUCACGUCUCAUGACCGCAGGGACGCGGCUUCCCCUGAAUGCGGAUCCUAGAGGCCAGGCAGAAGCAGCAUGGGUUUCCACUCACACGAUCUAUCUACUGCUCAUGAAAUCUCUGGAUUUAACUCUGAUGAAAGACUGGAGGCUGAAGGAGAACUUCAAUAUCAUAUAUUUUAAAGGUUGACUCACAGUUUGGAGCAAGAAUUAAAGAACCACGAACUUCAAGGUAAAACGGGCAACGGCGUUGGGGCAAGCCUCUCUGCACCUGCGUGUCCAGCCUCUCCUGCAUGCCAGAAGUCCCCAGGCAGGAGUGUGGUGGGACAUCCGGCUGGGGUAAGGACAGGCACCCUCCCACAGUGUCAGGGCCCAGAGAGUGGGUGGAGAAGCUCUGCAAGAGACCUGUGCAAGGGCGCCUUGUAGGAGCCUGCAGUCCCCACAGGUGUGUUUGUGGAUAACACUUGGGGAGCCCUGGCCUUUUGGGGUCAUGGAGGGCUUGGCCUCUCACCUCAGAGCUGCGGAGGAGCCGCUUCUACAUCAGGACAUCAGAAGCUGGAACAGGAUGACCGGCAAGGGGCCUCUGGUUGGGGUCACAGAGAUGGGUCGCAGAGAUGGCCCGUGUGGAAGGUGAUGUAAAAUUCUCAAACAAUGAGAUAGAUAAAAAGUACGCAGCCAAAAAGUUCAAGAAGAAGUGUUAUGGAGAUGGAGCAGGCCCUUCGUAAAAACACGAUGUUGGUUUUCUGGAUUUUGUAUGUUUGCUUUUUUUUUUUCCUCAUCCUAAAGAAAUAUUCACUGUCAUACCUAAUU